RNAcentral lists this ribosomal RNA (468 nucleotides) under uncultured bacterium. RNAcentral describes it as "partial 16S ribosomal RNA". It matches the Rfam family "Bacterial small subunit ribosomal RNA", at positions 28 to 507 of the family's 1533-position model. The record is from RNAcentral.
GACGAACGCUGGCGGCGUGCUUAACACAUGCAAGUCGAACGGAAAGGCCCUGCUUUUGUGGGGUGCUCGAGUGGCGAACGGGUGCGUAACACGUGCGUAACCUCCCCUUGACUUUGGGAUAACUUCAGGAAACUGGGGCUAAUACCGGAUAGGAGCUCCUGCUGCAUGGUGGGGGUUGGAAAGUUUCGGCGGUUGGGGAUGGACUCGCGGCUUAUCAGCUUGUUGGUGGGGUAGUGGCUUACCAAGGCUUUGACGGGUAGCCGGCCUGAGAGGGUGACCGGCCACAUUGGGACUGAGAUACGGCCCAGACUCCUACGGGAGGCAGCAGUGGGGAAUAUUGCACAAUGGGCGGAAGCCUGAUGCAGCAACGCCGCGUGCGGGAUGACGGCCUUCGGGUUGUAAACCGCUUUCGCCUGUGACGAAGCGUGAGUGACGGUAAUGGGUAAAGAAGCACCGGCUAACUACGUG